AUCUAGCUGACGAGUCCCAAAUAAGACAAAACGCGUAUUCUUGAU
Schistosoma haematobium is the source of this 45-nucleotide non-coding RNA. Lineage: Eukaryota; Metazoa; Platyhelminthes; Trematoda; Strigeidida; Schistosomatidae. The record is from Rfam.